GAAACAAGCUUGUUAAUCUCAGCCGUCUAUUAUAUCAACAAUCGGAUCUAACCAGGUUGCCCUUCCUCUAUAUAACAACUCGUUUCCUCUUUCCCGAACUCAGCUUUCAAUUAGGGUUUACGUUUUAUCAAACAUCUGAUUAUUUCUCCGCCGUUGGAGUCUACAAGGUAAUCGUCUUCGUAUUCUUUUUAGAUUAAACUUUAUCAAAUAUGUUUCAUAGCCCUAUCUCUCCUUCUCAAUGCGAAUGAAAUGCAUCUAUUUCCAAUUUUUAUGUUUUCCUGCGAAUUCACUAAGGCUUCGCUAAUCUGGUCGGCAUGAAUUUUAUUAGUUUCUGUCUGACUCGUUCCCUUGAAGCAAAAUUAAGCGUGCUGUUUUUAGAUUUUUAUAAUUUUCAAUCGAUUUUCAUUGGAGAACACUUAAGCAGCUACAUAUGUUCAUUAAGUUAAACAAAUGAAGCAUUCAAAAUCAAUCAUUAGAAACCACUUACGAUACUUUUCGAGAUUUUCUUUUUUAUUGUAAUUUGGGGAAAAUGUGACUGUGAUGAGCCAAUACAGACCUGUAAUGACUUGCGAAAAUGAUCGCAACUUAUGAACAUCUAAGGGACUGAGUCUCGAUUCCCUCAUUUUAUUUAUGACUUCAAUUUUGGAAUUUAUUUAAGUUCUAAAUUUUUGAAAAUUCUAAUUUUCAAUAUGUAUGUUCGUGGCUUUAUAUACUGUGAAUGAGGAUUUGCUACAAUUUAGUAUUGGCAAAUUUUAUUCGGGAUCCUCGUCACCAUCCCGGGUCAACCUGAGGAUUCCCCAGUCAAAACGGGUGCGGUUAUCAGGUUCCCCAUUGGAUAUGUGGCUUUUUGCCAUCUCUAGUAAUGAAAACCCUCAAAUGAAAUCUAAUUUGCUUUAGAAGAUAGUAACUUUUAACUUGGAAACUUCUAAACCCUAUCAAAGAUAGUAACUUCUAACUUGGAAACCGCCCUAUCUUCUUUAAGUUAAUAUUAAAAUAAUAAUAAUAAUACCUUGUUUUUAGUGAAGUGUCAUUAAAUGAAUAUAUAACCAUAAAUAUGAUUUUAUAGUCUAAAAUGAAGUACAAGUACUUAAACUACAUAUUGGAAAGAUAUCGUGUUGAUCCCACUUCAACGAAUGAUUAAUGAUAUUUUAAAUAAUUUUACAGAUUAUGUUUGUUAAACUUUCCGUCCAAGACUGGUUAUUCACAUAAUAGGUGAAAAGACCAUAACCGGUAUUGUAGCUUGCUUGGAACCGAUAACCAUGCAUAUAAAGUGGUGCCUGGUCUCCUUCCGGUUGCUCAACCUAGCUAGAACUAAAAAAAAUAAGUUUUUAUUUUGGGUUAAGUAAGUUGUUUGGCUAAAAAAAACUUUUACCAUAUUUUCUAUGUUCAUUGAUAGCAAUUAUCGUUAAUGUUUAUGAGAAGCUCUAACAUGGUAUGAAGUCGGGUUUACAGAUGUUUCUCUCAUUGUGAUUGAAAGAUCUCAUCUAGAAUCCAUAACAACUCUUAAAUGAUAAUAAAGUAAGGAAAAAUGAUACCUUAAGUUAAAUGCUAAUUAUAAAAAUGGAUGAGUUUAAAGAAAUUGUAUAAACAAAUUAAUCUUGAAAACCAAAUCUUAGCUGACAAAAAGAUUAUUGUUUGGCCCAACAUAAGGGAAAAAAGUGAAUCGUAGGUAGUGCCAAUUGCACAUAAAAGCUAAAUAAAGAGUAUAAAGAAAAGUAAUUGUGUAGUUUGAGACGAAAAUAUGUUAAAUGUCUAUAGAUAAUUAUAGUCAUUUGCUUAUUUUAGCGACCGAAUUCAAAUUAAUAUUUUUAGUUUUUUUUUUUUUAUUUUUUUUUUUAUGUGUAUUUGUAAAAAAAUUAUGUUAUGUUUUCCUUCUUUCACUUAUAUUUAGAAUCGACAAAUUGCAAUAAUUAAUACGUUUUGCAACAUAGCAUAAACUGUUAUAGUGAGAUUAAUGAUAUCCAAAUCAAAAAUUGAUUGAUUUCUAUAAUUUGGUAUAGUUCUCAAAGUAUAUUGCAUUAAUAAGAAAAAUAUGACUUUUGAGAAGAAGGAUUAAAACCAAAUCUCAUGCCAAUGAAGAUCUAUACUCAAACAUAUAGAUAUCAAAGUAUCCACAUCCACUUGUAUUGGCCUUAACUCCUCAUUCCCCUACAAAAUUCCAUCAAAAUUCUAUUUGAAUAUUCUACAAAAUGAUGUAAAUACACAAAAUAACACAUUGGUGUUUAAUAUUUCAAAAUUUUCAACGCAUAAAACAAAAAUACUCACCUUACAUAUAUAACCUUUUAUCCUUUUCUUUCUUAUCCUAUCAUGAUCAAAAUUCUACAAGUAACAUAAAGAAAUAAGUUUUAGUUCACCAAGAAAUAAGUUUUUGUUUAAUUAAUCAAGCUCAUACAAACCAAAUAAUAAAAAAAAAUUAAAGGUGCAUCUUGUUUUCAUACCUAAUUUUAUUACUGAAUCCAAAUCUGGUGAAAUUGAAAAAGAACACAAAUAAAAGCUAGUUUUUUGUAGAUCUUGUUUCCAAAUCUGAUGAAAUGAAAUAAAUACAAAAGGUUAAUCUUUACAAAUCUUUGUUUCUACCCGGUUCACUGUGAAAUCCCAAAUCAUGUAACUGGCAUUCCAUUGACCAAAGUUCCAAAAUUUAGAACUACUAAAAUAAAUUACAACCAAAAUAGUUUGGAAAACCAAUAGAAAAUGUGAAAGAUAAACUAUACCAGGUCAAGAGAUGAGUAUAGCAAAGUUAGGUCAUAGUUUCUAUGAGACAUUUCGUAAAAAACUUGGAAUGCAUGUUUUGUAAGCCUAUAAAAAAAACAAUAACAUAUCUUUUUAUAUUAACCUGGGAAGAAAAUA
Molecule: long non-coding RNA, 2847 nt
Filed under: Lactuca sativa (garden lettuce)
Lineage: Eukaryota; Viridiplantae; Streptophyta; Magnoliopsida; Asterales; Asteraceae
Description: long non-coding RNA (LSAT_LNC006082)
Rfam family: Small nucleolar RNA SNORD25 (bases 531-613)
Source: RNAcentral